RNAcentral lists this ribosomal RNA (1696 nucleotides) under Escherichia coli. Its description in RNAcentral is "bacterial LSU rRNA". It matches the Rfam family "Bacterial large subunit ribosomal RNA", at positions 1241 to 2915 of the family's 2925-position model. Lineage: Bacteria; Pseudomonadati; Pseudomonadota; Gammaproteobacteria; Enterobacterales; Enterobacteriaceae. The record is from RNAcentral.
CUGUAAGCCUGUGAAGGUGUACUGUGAGGUAUGCUGGAGGUAUCAGAAGUGCGAAUGCUGACAUAAGUAACGAUAAAGCGGGUGAAAAGCCCGCUCGCCGGAAGACCAAGGGUUCCUGUCCAACGUUAAUCGGGGCAGGGUGAGUCGACCCCUAAGGCGAGGCCGAAAGGCGUAGUCGAUGGGAAACAGGUUAAUAUUCCUGUACUUGGUGUUACUGCGAAGGGGGGACGGAGAAGGCUAUGUUGGCCGGGCGACGGUUGUCCCGGUUUAAGCGUGUAGGCUGGUUUUCCAGGCAAAUCCGGAAAAUCAAGGCUGAGGCGUGAUGACGAGGCACUACGGUGCUGAAGCAACAAAUGCCCUGCUUCCAGGAAAAGCCUCUAAGCAUCAGGUAACAUCAAAUCGUACCCCAAACCGACACAGGUGGUCAGGUAGAGAAUACCAAGGCGCUUGAGAGAACUCGGGUGAAGGAACUAGGCAAAAUGGUGCCGUAACUUCGGGAGAAGGCACGCUGAUAUGUAGGUGAAGCGACUUGCUCGUGGAGCUGAAAUCAGUCGAAGAUACCAGCUGGCUGCAACUGUUUAUUAAAAACACAGCACUGUGCAAACACGAAAGUGGACGUAUACGGUGUGACGCCUGCCCGGUGCCGGAAGGUUAAUUGAUGGGGUUAGCGCAAGCGAAGCUCUUGAUCGAAGCCCCGGUAAACGGCGGCCGUAACUAUAACGGUCCUAAGGUAGCGAAAUUCCUUGUCGGGUAAGUUCCGACCUGCACGAAUGGCGUAAUGAUGGCCAGGCUGUCUCCACCCGAGACUCAGUGAAAUUGAACUCGCUGUGAAGAUGCAGUGUACCCGCGGCAAGACGGAAAGACCCCGUGAACCUUUACUAUAGCUUGACACUGAACAUUGAGCCUUGAUGUGUAGGAUAGGUGGGAGGCUUUGAAGUGUGGACGCCAGUCUGCAUGGAGCCGACCUUGAAAUACCACCCUUUAAUGUUUGAUGUUCUAACGUUGGCCCCUGAUCGGGGUUGCGGACAGUGUCUGGUGGGUAGUUUGACUGGGGCGGUCUCCUCCUAAAGAGUAACGGAGGAGCACGAAGGUUGGCUAAUCCUGGUCGGACAUCAGGAGGUUAGUGCAAUGGCAUAAGCCAGCUUGACUGCGAGCGUGACGGCGCGAGCAGGUGCGAAAGCAGGUCAUAGUGAUCCGGUGGUUCUGAAUGGAAGGGCCAUCGCUCAACGGAUAAAAGGUACUCCGGGGAUAACAGGCUGAUACCGCCCAAGAGUUCAUAUCGACGGCGGUGUUUGGCACCUCGAUGUCGGCUCAUCACAUCCUGGGGCUGAAGUAGGUCCCAAGGGUAUGGCUGUUCGCCAUUUAAAGUGGUACGCGAGCUGGGUUUAGAACGUCGUGAGACAGUUCGGUCCCUAUCUGCCGUGGGCGCUGGAGAACUGAGGGGGGCUGCUCCUAGUACGAGAGGACCGGAGUGGACGCAUCACUGGUGUUCGGGUUGUCAUGCCAAUGGCACUGCCCGGUAGCUAAAUGCGGAAGAGAUAAGUGCUGAAAGCAUCUAAGCACGAAACUUGCCCCGAGAUGAGUUCUCCCUGAGACUUUAAGUCUCCUGAAGGAACGUUGAAGACGACGACGUUGAUAGGCCGGGUGUGUAAGCGCAGCGAUGCGUUGAGCUAACCGGUACUAAUGAACCGUGAGG